AUCCGGCUGACGAGUCCUAAAUAGGACGAAACGCGCAUCCUGGAU
This 45-nucleotide non-coding RNA is filed under the name Schistosoma margrebowiei. The record is from RNAcentral. Lineage: Eukaryota; Metazoa; Platyhelminthes; Trematoda; Strigeidida; Schistosomatidae.